AAUGAUAUUGUUCUUCUGGAUAUGGUGAAAGAAAUCCACGCAUGUUGGUAUAUCGUGAAUCAAGCAAAUAAUAUUAUAAAACUAUAAAUUUUUCCUAUUAUUUUAAUUAAUUUCAUUUUCUUUUCAUUUCCGCUUACAGCCCCUCACCUCACUUCUCCUUCUCUGUCCACGAUGUCCCUCCCACAUUUCCACCGUAUUUCACUAGUCAGCCCCACCUUCUUAGUUGUCCUCCAUCCUACUCAUGUCGCAUCAAGCUUGGAAGCAGCUAUCAUAGCUGAAAAACUAAAUAAAAAAAAAAAGGGGGGGGAAUAGUAGGCUGCCUUCUUCCUGGAGCUGCUAUAUUCUUAGGAGGCCGUAUUAGCUUCCCCAAGCUCCAAAUAGUCCAUUUUAGGCCCCAAUUGCAGCUACAAUCGCCGAAAAUCAAGUGGUGGAGCUUCAUUGGAGCAGCCCCUUGCGAGCCAUUUUAGGCGAAAAUAAUUGCAUUUUCAGACUUCUCGCAUCGAUAGCUUCAAGUGGAUGGCCUCAGAUUGCAUUUUCAGCGACGUUGAAUUUUUCGGCCGUCACGGGUGGCGGCGCCUCAAUUAGCAUGCCGAGAGGCAGAAUCUUUGCCGCUUUAUUUCUAAUUUUGGUGGUAUUAGUUUGCUUAAAUUCGUCAUGAACAAUUAGCUAUGAAUUUUUAAUUUGAUUUGUGGGAUUAAAAUUAGAAUAUUUAAUCUGGUUGAAUUAUCGUUAAAUUGCGAGUUGUAGGAUGAUUAUAGAACCGAUAAAUUAUUUAAAUUUUGAUAAUGUAUGGUGGAGGAUUAUUUCGAAUAUCGAUAAAUUAAUUAUUGGAAUUGUAAGACUACGAUAAAUUAAAUAAA
This 860-nucleotide long non-coding RNA is filed under the name Ricinus communis (castor bean). RNAcentral describes it as "long non-coding RNA (RCOM_LNC002868)". Lineage: Eukaryota; Viridiplantae; Streptophyta; Magnoliopsida; Malpighiales; Euphorbiaceae. The record is from RNAcentral.